GCCAAAAAAAUUAUCUGCAUCCUGCGGCGCUCGAUCGCUCACCGGUACGUAGCUAAUAGGCCUAGGGCUACUCCUGAGUAUAGCCCCUGACAGAGCAAGGUGAGGCGUCUCGUCCUCAACCUCUCUGCCUACCAUGGACUCGGUCGGCCAUCCCUUUCUGGCUCUGUUUGCUUCGCCGCCCAAUGCAUACCAUCCAGUUCCUCGUCCGCGGCCACCUAUGUUUUCUCCAGAAGCUAGAGGUAGCGCACUAGCGCCGAAUGCCUGCGCACCUAAUUCAAUCAGGAUGCCCAUCCCCAGUGAGGCUUCUCGUUUGGAAAGCCCAAACCACGGGACGAAACCCGAACGCUUCCCCCGGGACGCUCCCCGGCGUGGAAAGAAGCCCUGGGCUGAGGCGCCUUGGCAUUUGGAAGCCCAACAGCAUGGGAAAUCCUACCCGACCCCAGGCGUUUUCCACGCGGCAGAGCUCCCUCGCCUCUCGAGUCAAGGCGGCUGUUCCCAGGGAUCUGACGGCGACUUCCGCGGCAGCUCCUUCGUCCCGUCGGUGAUCACCCUCCCUCGACCCCUCACCGUACCCACCUCUCGCGCGGUCGCGCCCAGUUCCACCGCCCAAAGCCAACCUCACCAGACUGAGGCACAGUUGGAAUGGCGUCACUGAAGCUCCGUGGGGCAGAAGCUAGAGCUUAGCUGCUCGACGUGGCUCUACAACAUAAGACCAGAACUCGGCGGCGCUUCAGCUUCAGCUUGUUGUCCAGAACAUCGGCUUACUCCGCGCGUUCAAGAAGUAAGGCAACGAGGGCUCUGUCCAUCUUGGAUUUUUGGUGCCUGUAAUAGACAUCUCUCUGUUUAUAGUAACUCAAUUAUUGAGCUCAAAUAAGACGAGUAGUUCUAGCAUAGUAGCACCCCCACCCACACAUACAGAUCAUAAUGGCUCCACACACACACAGACACAUUCCAUGCAUAGCUUGAUUAAUUAUUCUACAUUUCUACUUGUAGUUUGCACCUUCUUGUUCUCUGCGUGAAUGCAUACAGUCUGAUCUCUGUCAACCUGGUUCUUUCUCCCUUCCAGUUUGCAUCUUCUGUGAUUGAGUGCUACCUGAAUAGCUCAAGAUGACAGUUUUAGUGUCAUCAGUUAGGUGUUAGUUGUGUCAUCAGUUUUGGUGACAAAAUCUUGAUUACUUCGGCACCACAGAAUAUGUGCACACUAGCUGGAAAUAAAUUGAUAAGGUUGAGCAAAACAAACAGGGUAUGCCCACUUUUUUGUUACAAGAAUGUCACUGGUGUGUGAGAUAAGGGAAACAAAAGACAUAGACAAAAAUGUAACCUGCAUUCUCAAAUAUUGUGCUAGAUCUUGUUGAGCUUCUAUAAACUGUAAUCUGUAUUCUCAAGGUUUUUGUUACAUUUAGAUAUCCAUGGAUUCAGGCUA
Molecule: long non-coding RNA, 1423 nt
Organism: Zea mays
Lineage: Eukaryota; Viridiplantae; Streptophyta; Magnoliopsida; Poales; Poaceae
Exons: 2
Source: RefSeq, a predicted model, not a curated record